AUAGAUGAUUACAGGCAGCUCCAUGACCUUCACACCCAGCUUGGCUGCUGUGGCUGAAAUGACCCCCACGCUGGGACAGGGCCUGGUGUCAGCCCAAAUAAACAACUGGCACAGUGGGGCCUGGAGAGGAGCCCCAGCUCCCCCGCAUCUGUCAGGCACUGGGGUGACUUGUGCAGCACUGCGAGAUCUCUGCUGCAGAAACUUGAGCUGUGACGCUGAGCAGAGCUGGAGUUAGUGAAUGGGAAGCAGGAUUCAGCACGCUUCAGGGUGGUUUGAAGAGCCAGGAAGCACUGGGGCUGUUUAAUUGAAAGUAACUGUAUAAAAAAAAGGAAUUAAUUCUUAUUAAACACCCACAGCGACAUUUUCUUAAGUGGAAAUUAAACAGGGAUUAAGGUGAAGCCUCCUAAGACUCUCCCUGUUGUGAUCAAGAAUAUUUUAAGGCAAGAGCACCAGGCCAUGUUAAAUUUGAAGAAAUGAACUGAUCUGGAUGCACUCUGGUGCCUUUCCCUCUCUCUGUCCUGCUGCUCAGGGGAGCAGAGGCAGCUGGAUGUAGUGGGGUGCUAAGCAAAGAGAUGCUCUUAAAUUGAGGGGGCCUCCUCCGAGCCCUGGCCUCUCAGCCAUGUUCUCAAGCGCUGCCUGAAAUGGGAAGGGAAAAGAAAUGCUUUGGAAUGGAAACCCUAGAUAAAACAAGAAACGACAUUUUCCUUUGUGGUCCCCCCAGUGCUCUUGCCUGUACUUGGAGGAGGCCGUGCUCCCCGCCUGCCUUUUGGGGAACCAGCAGAAAGUGUCCCUCGCAGGGAGGAUGCAGUGACGGUGGUGCAGAUGGAGCUGCUCAACCCCUCGCACCAGCGAUGCCAAGGCACGGAGGCACCCAGGGAGCAAGUGUCCUAAGUCAGGAGCUGCCAGAUUGAGAGACGUGGUUCUUCUUGCCUGUGUCACUGCCGCUGCUCCCUUCAACCAUGCGACUUCCCAGAAAACUCUCCUGGAAGAUGCCUUUACUGCCAUAACCCUCUGGCUGGGUGUGUCGCCGUAGGACUGACACAGCUCACUCAGAUGAGCUGACACAUGGCACGUGCCACCACAAUGCUCCCAGACAGAGGUCAGAGGGCUGCCCGCCCCCCUGCCCACCUCCCCUGCUUGCUCCCCUGCCUGCACAUGCAAGUGCUCCUGCCUCCUCUCCGGAGACCCUGAGCUCCAGCAGCCCUUGCAGGGAUUCAGGGACUUUGUAGCUUGUGUCAGCCUGCUAAUCACAGCCUUUCUUGACCCCACCUCCUGGAGGAAGCUCAGCACCAAGACCAUGGGCUGGAUUUUUCUGCCCCAUGGUUGCUCUUGAAGUUGGACUAGUCUAAGACUGCAAUCCUGAGUGUUUAAUUGGUGUUAGCCAAGGGGAAGCAUGGCACAGUAGAGCUCUGAAGGGCCACCAACCCUUCUGCCCAUAACAGCAGAAGAUGAGCCCCAUCCGAGCUGUCAGCAUGCUUGGGAAAGAACUGGGGGUGGAAGAGUUGCAGAGAGAUGCAUGGUCAUGGGCAAGGAGCUGAGCAGAGAGGGCACCUGGUGGGCACCAGAACUCCUCCAUCCUCCUUCAAGUGCGGGCUGGGCAAGCUCCGGUGACUGCCUAUUGAUGCACUGGGGGAAGAGUAAGGAGGGAGCCAAGGCUGUCUCUGAAGCAGAAGCAAGGAGAGCACUGUCCUGUAGAUAAAGAGCAUAAGAUGCUGGAAGAUAAAAAUUUGGCUGGAAUUAGAAGUUAGUGUCUGCUCAUGAGGGCAGGAAUGCUCCAGGGGGAGUAAUAUAGACAGAAAGCUGACUUUUUUUGUCAUGGUGUUUAUUGAGCUUCUGAAAGAGAUUGUAUGACAUGGCGCCAAGAGCUGGAAGGUGAUGACCCCACUACCCACUAGCUCCUUUUGGUGCAAGGCUCCUCCACUUCUCAUUCACCUUCCAGGCUUGUCCAUCUCCUGCUUUCAUCCAAUGCACUAUUUGAUUAAUUAAAUAUUCUCUCCUACAGAUUGCUGGCUGAGGGUGACACACGUUUAAUGAACAGCUGCAGGUCCCUAAUCACAUUGGCAAUUAGGAAUGUAAUUAGAGCACUUGCAAAUGGUUUUCAUGCUGAUAAAACAUGACAGAGUAGAGCGUUUUCACUCACUGUCAGCUGUCAGACAAUCUGUUACCUAUCUAAUGGCAAUUUAAUUACAAAUUCCUUCACUACCUUUGUUUCUGAUUGCUCUGGUCCAUGGCUUGACUGGGCAUCUCUUGGGGUCAAACGCAAUGCAACCCAAUGUCAUUGGUGUUGUGCCAUGGUAAAGCCCUGGUUGAGAAGGGGGAUUUCAGGACAGGAUGCCCACGAAGCCUUCCCCUCCCACCUGGUUUGGGCUGGCUGCUGCUGAGCCAGGCAGGAGCCUGUCCAAGGGGGCAGACACCAGUCACAAUAACGUUUCUGAAGAGCACGGAGCUGGAAAACCUCAGCAACCACCUCUGUUGGAGAGGCCAGCACAAGACAACUGCUGCCACCUGAAGCCAUGCUGAGUGACCCCCACAUCAAAACACGAUGCUGAGAGCCGUUGUGCUGGAUGCCUUCCAGAGAAGCUGUGGGAGACUUGCUUGUAGGGACUCCACAACCAGGCGUGACAUCUGGCUUUAAAAGCUUUUUAUUUUGGUAAAGGUUCCAUUUGUUUCAUCUGUUUCAAAGAGUUGCUGAACUGAGACAGCAUUUGGGAGUCACAAGGCCAGCAUUUGGUAUGCCCAUACUGUCUGACCACAGCUCUGUGCAGGGCAUCCAGGAGAUGGUGAAGCUUCAGCUGAAAAGGUUUGGGUCCUCCAGCUUGGUCUGCUCUGAGUUGUGCUCAAGCCUGCAGCAUAUUCAGCUUGAACUGCUGAACCUACCCCUGUCUAAGUGCCGUGUUCUAAAAAAAAACGGACAUCUUUUGUUGCUGAAAGCCUUCCUUGAAGCAGCGGCUCCCAUUUAACUGGCAGUGAGUGGCUGUGAAUCAGAAAGAAAGGACAGAGUGGACAUAAGGGGCACCCAUUUUAAGGAGUUAGAGCGAGACCUGUGCUGAGCACAGCCUGUACAGGAUGGGUUUGGGAGCUGCAGGCCUGCAAGCAGGGCUGUGCAGGAGGCAUGUGGGGAAGCAGAUCCCAUCUUCCAUGGGACUGCACGUAUGGGAAGAUCUGCUUACCUCGUCUUCACUGAACCACAGUCCAGAGAGAGGGUCCCAUCUUGAGCUCCUCAGGAUAUAGGUAUUUCCCACAAAGAUGUAAGAGGAGUCUGGCAAGCCCCACUCAACAGGGAUGCUCAGCAAAGGGCUCCCAUCCCUUUAACCACCCCUAAAUAGCAUUUGUGCAGUCACUGUGUGCUGCUGAGCUGAAAUAGCACUGUAACUUCGUCAUCAACAGCAUUUCCCCUCGGUUCUCAAGCUGCUGUGUUUAACUCAUUACCAGGUAGAGGUGCAUUAAGAAACACAUUUUACAGACGAAGGUACUGCUCAAGAGGAGUUAUUCAUCUCCAGGUCACAUGCUGAGACAGCUGGGAGCAGAACUGAGGCCUUUUAAUGACAGUUGAAGGGCAAAGAUGCAACAAGUGACUGCCACAUUUUAGGUCACAUCAGAGCCCAGGGACAUCAGACAUCAGAGCCCAAGUGUCAUCUAAAGCACUGAAUCCCCCCAAAGUGCUGAUGCCUCCCUGCAGUGCUGGUGAAUUCCUGGCUCUGGCAGGCCUUGUGGGAAUCUCGCAGGUAAUUUUUGCAUAGCUUUCAAAGUAUAAUUGCUUAAUUUGCUGUAAAGUGCUUACUUUGGUUGUUAAAACUGCACGGAAGUUGCAAAGCAAAGAGCACAAGAUGCUGGCUUCAGGUGCACACACAUGGCACAGCUGCACCUGGUGACCCACAGCUCCGUGCCACCAGAGAGCCACCGAGAGUCCCCACGCUGACAUGGACAAGCCCUGGCAGUGUUCCUUGCUCGCAGCCCUGUCCCCAGGGCUGGCUCUGCUUUUCAGGCUGGGUGUCUGCUUUUAAAGCUCCUGGGUACUCUCACCUCCUCCAGCUGACCCAAUUCCUCCUCGUUGCCAUGGAGAACUGGGCUCAUUUCUGGUUUUCAGCCUCGGUGCCGCUCCUGCUGUGACCGCUGACCAGGUGGAUGCUGCAGCCAGUCCUGACUCGAUGUUCCCAGGAGACAAGCACCAACGGGACCAGGGUGGCACGUGCACUGCUGGGUGGCUUGGCUGGUGCCUGGGAUCUCCUCAAGCAGAGGACACCAGGGGCUGUGUGUCCUGGUGAUCCUCCCUGUGCCCACUGCCCCAGGCGCCAACAGACGUCAGGUGCCACUCUUUGUAAGCCCCGUUUCAGCACACCCGCAGGCACAGUGAAGCGAUGUGUUUUGAUGUGGUUAAUGGUCAAGAACUGGCAAUUUUAGGGGCUGGCACUUCAGAUGAGUAUUUAAAAUCUCAGUUAGAGUUCUGCUAAGGAGGACUAAUUUGGGGCCAGUUCAGACACUGUAAAUCAUUUACCCCAUGCAGUCUGUCAGCUAGCUGCUCCAGUGUGUAAUUUUCCAUUCUGUCCAUUUAUAAAACAAUAUUUUCUGUUUUUCUUUCUUUGUUUGAUUGUUUUCCCCAACCAGGAGUUAAUUAACUGGUUAAAGGAAUGUUCAUUCAUGGAUGGAGGGACUGCAGCUUUGUACUCCUGGACUGGAUUAUCUCAUCUCAGUGCAAGCCAUUGUUGUUGGUGAACAGCUACAGAUGAGGCAGUCUCUUGAUGUCACUUAAUAUAUAAAAAUAAUAAUUUGUCCUGUCUCUUUGCUUUGCAGCUUCCCAGGCAGGGGGAUGUUGAGCACUGGCAAGGGAGCUUUUUCGUAUCUCCUAUUUCAUGAACUCCAGAGCAAAUAAUAGCAACAAAACAAAGCAAAGCAAACCAAACCAAACCAACCAACCAAACAAAGCACACAAGGCUCCCAAAACAGCAUUAACCUUCCCUUCAGCCCAACCCAAAACUGCAGGCCAAUCUUUCCCCUCCUGGUUGGCUCGAGGAAGCAAUUUCUAGUUUGAAUUGCUGUGCGUGUGACACUGAAGCCUUGUGUGUUUAAAAGCGGAUUCCUGGAAAGCAGCGGCAAAGCCAAUUUCAUCUUCUCAGCAAAGUCUUUUUCUUUCUAAGAAGCAACCUGCCACGUCAGUAAUGGUUUUAAAUUGACUUUCACAGAUGCCCAUCCACAAAAGAUAUUGUUUCCUAGAAACCAGAGGUUAAUGGAGAAGGGCUCCAAAUAAAGCAAGAAGGAGGAAAAACCUCCUUGCUGUUCUGCCGAGCGCCAUCUGCUUCAUGACAAUAAAGACAGCCAGAAAUUAUGCUUGGUUAUGGGGUAAAGCCUCCUCUGGCUUCUAGGAAAUGUGGAUGGGGAGCACGGGGCCAUGCCCAGAUUUCUGGUGGGGUUGGAGGGAACAUCCCCACACUGGGGCUGGGUGCACUCAUCCAGUUUCCCCGAUUAAUGCAGUAAAUACAGGCAACACAAAGCAAUUUCUGGAGUGAUGGAGGCUCCUGUUGUUUGCUUUGAGGGGAAGGAUAGAGAGGGUGUGAUGCACAGCACCCCUGAGACCAUUCCUUUCCAAAGCUUCCAUUUCCCAGCAGCUCUUCAGGCAUCUGGGUUAACACCUGUCCUUAGCAGUGCUGAGGCUUAUUCAGAAAAAGGGCAAAUGCUGUUUGUUCACACCAACACCCAGUCCGCUGAUCUCUGAUCCCUGCCAGCAGUUAAUCUGCUCCCCAGCAGCACAAUGGCAAUGUGUCCUGGCCAUCUUGGAUCACAGCCAUGCACAGGAGGAUCCCUGGCUUUCCUCCAUUGCAAUUUCUCUGAGAAAGCUUGUGCCUCCUGCACUAAAGCCUGUAAGUUGUUCAUGGCUUGAAGAAUUCCUCCCUUCCAACAUUUUGCAGUUGUUGUGCCUGAUGAAGGAGGCAAACCAGGUCCUGUAGCAAUGGUGCUGUUGAGUUGCCCUGAGAGCUGGGUGCACGCCAAAGAAGAAUAACUUUCUGGUGGUUCAGCUGACACACAGAUGUGCUGUGUACAGCAUAUUUUGGCUGCAGUUUUGGGUAGAAAAAUGAGCAGAGCCAGGAGCGGUGCCUGGCGUUCUAUGUGUAAGAAAAAUGCCAGGGCAAAACCCACCUCCUAGCACUAGUGUAACACUAAUCAAUGAUCUUCAACCGAAAAACAGCCAUGGAACAUCCAAAAGCUGCUUGUGGAAUUCACCAAGUGCACUAACCUUCACUGCAUCUCUAAAAAAAUAAUUAGUCCCAGUUCCCCAGAUCACAAGCCUCCGAAAAUGGCAUUUCCACAUGCUCAGUCAAUCUCAGCAGCAAACAUUAAACACCAUCCUCUGAAAGUGUUAACAGCCCCGAGGAACAGCCCCCUGCAUCGCCGACACUCUUGAAAGCAGCUGUAUUAAUCUUGCUGUGCUUAAGGUGCCAGCCCUCUGCAGAGUGGAGAUAAGCAUCUCGUGGGGGCUCCAGGAACAAAUGAAUAUUUGUGAGCUGCUCUGCCAGCAUGGUGCUAAGCACAACCAAAAACCCACAUGGAAAGGAUAACCUAUGCUUUCUGCAUGGCAUGGGAGUGCCGAGGGUGGGAAGGGCUCUGCUGAUUGAGAUGUGCAGAGCAGCUGCUGCCCCACAGUGACCACCCUCAUCCAGCUGACAGUGGGAUUUACACAGCUGGUGUUUCCAGCCAGUGCGUGUGAUUUGCCCCUGAUUUGUGGGCAGGAGCUGCGUCCCCUUGUGCAGGCUUCAGGAGCAACCGUGUCUUGUUCUGUUCAUGCCCUUGCUACUCGUUGGGUUGGUGUAGGGCUGCUGUCUCUUCUACUGCAGGGUCUGGUCAACAGUGAUAGUGGUGCCCCUCAUCUUCUGCACCCUUUUUAGGACUUGUGUUAGGGCCAAGUAG
Molecule: long non-coding RNA, 6900 nt
Organism: Cygnus olor (mute swan)
Lineage: Eukaryota; Metazoa; Chordata; Aves; Anseriformes; Anatidae
Exons: 2
Source: RefSeq, a predicted model, not a curated record